GCGCGGGGGCAACCCUGGCGGCGAGCGGCGAACGGGUGAGUAACACAUCGGAACGUACCCUGUCGUGGGGGAUAACGAAUCGAAAGAUUCGCUAAUACCGCAUACGACCUGAGGGUGAAAGCGGGGGAUCGCAAGACCACGCGCGAGAGGAGCGGCCGAUGUCGGAUUAGCUAGUUGGUGAGGUAAAGGCUCACCAAGGCGACGAUCCGUAGCGGGUCUGAGAGGACGGCCCGCCACACUGGGACUGAGACACGGCCCAGACUCCUACGGGAGGCAGCAGUGGGGAAUUUUGGACAAUGGGGGCAACCCUGAUCCAGCCAUUCCGCGUGAGUGAAGAAGGCCUUCGGGUUGUAAAGCUCUUUCGGCAGGAACGAAACGGUGGAGGCUAAUAUCCUUCAUCAAUGACGGUACCUGAAGAAGAAGCACCGGCUAACUACGUGCCAGCAGCCGCGGUAAUACGUAGGGUGCGAGCGUUAAUCGGAAUUACUGGGCGUAAAGCGUGCGCAGGCGGUUUUGUAAGACAGAUGUGAAAUCCCCGGGCUUAACCUGGGAACUGCGUUUGUGACUGCAAGACUUGAGUGCGGCAGAGGGGGGUGGAAUUCCACGUGUAGCAGUGAAAUGCGUAGAGAUGUGGAGGAACACCGAUGGCGAAGGCAGCCCCCUGGGUCGACACUGACGCUCAUGCACGAAAGCGUGGGUAGCAAACAGGAUUAGAUACCCUGGUAGUCCA
This 730-nucleotide ribosomal RNA is filed under the name uncultured bacterium. RNAcentral's name for it is "bacterial SSU rRNA". It matches the Rfam family "Bacterial small subunit ribosomal RNA", at positions 71 to 797 of the family's 1533-position model. The record is from RNAcentral.